RNAcentral lists this ribosomal RNA (253 nucleotides) under uncultured bacterium. RNAcentral describes it as "partial 16S ribosomal RNA". It matches the Rfam family "Bacterial small subunit ribosomal RNA", at positions 524 to 776 of the family's 1533-position model. The record is from RNAcentral.
UACAGAGGUCUCAACCGUUGUUCGGAUUCAUUGGGCGUAAAGGGCGCGUAGGCGGCCUGGCAAGUGGAAGGUGAAAUCCCUCGGCUUAACCGAGGAACUGCCCUCCAAACUGCUUGGCUUGAGUCCGGGAGAGGUGAGUGGAAUUCCCAGUGUAGCGGUGAAAUGCGUAGAUAUUGGGAGGAACACCAGUGGCGAAGGCGGCUCACUGGACCGGAACUGACGCUGAGGCGCGAAAGCGUGGGGAGCAAACGGG